This 1091-nucleotide ribosomal RNA is filed under the name human metagenome. RNAcentral describes it as "bacterial LSU rRNA". It matches the Rfam family "Bacterial large subunit ribosomal RNA", at positions 1640 to 2718 of the family's 2925-position model. The record is from RNAcentral.
GCCCGUACCGUAAACCGACACAGGUGGGUGGGAUGAGUAUUCUAAGGCGCGUGGAAGAACUCUCUUCAAGGAACUCUGCAAAAUAGCACCGUAUCUUCGGUAUAAGGUGUGCCUAACUUUGUGAAGGAUUUACUCCGUAAGCAUUGAAGGUUACAACAAAGAGUCCCUCCCGACUGUUUACCAAAAACACAGCACUCUGCUAACUCGUAAGAGGAUGUAUAGGGUGUGACGCCUGCCCGGUGCUCGAAGGUUAAUUGAUGACGUUAGCUCUGCGAAGCGUUUGAUCGAAGCCCGAGUAAACGGCGGCCGUAACUAUAACGGUCCUAAGGUAGCGAAAUUCCUUGUCGAUUAAAUAUCGACCUGCAUGAAUGGCGUAACGAGAUGGGAGCUGUCUCGAAGAGGGAUCCAGUGAAAUUGUAGUGGAGGUGAAAAUUCCUCCUACCCGCGGCAAGACGGAAAGACCCCGUGGACCUUUACUACAGCUUGACACUGCUAUUGGGAUAAAAAUGUGCAGGAUAGGUGGGAGGCUUUGAUCCAUAGACGCCAGUUUAUGGUGAGCCGUUGUUGAGAUACCACUCUUUUUUAUUCUGAUAGCUAACUAGCUUGAGUUAUCCUCAAGUAGGACAAUGUCUGGUGGGUAGUUUGACUGGGGCGGUCGCCUCCCAAAAUGUAACGGAGGCUUACAAAGGUUGGCUCAGAACGGUUGGAAAUCGUUCGCAGAGUAUAAAGGCAAAAGCCAGCUUAACUGCGAGACAUACACGUCAAGCAGGGACGAAAGUCGGUCUUAGUGAUCCGGUGGUUCUGUGUGGAAGGGCCAUCGCUCAAAGGAUAAAAGGUACCCCGGGGAUAACAGGCUGAUCUCCCCCAAGAGCUCACAUCGACGGGGAGGUUUGGCACCUCGAUGUCGGCUCAUCGCAUCCUGGGGCUGAAGUCGGUCCCAAGGGUUGGGCUGUUCGCCCAUUAAAGCGGUACGCGAGCUGGGUUCAGAACGUCGUGAGACAGUUCGGUCCCUAUCUGCCGUGGGCGCAAGAAGAUUGAGGAGAGUUGACCCUAGUACGAGAGGACCGGGUUGAACCGACCACUGGUGUACC